RNAcentral lists this ribosomal RNA (406 nucleotides) under uncultured bacterium. RNAcentral's name for it is "partial 16S ribosomal RNA". It matches the Rfam family "Bacterial small subunit ribosomal RNA", at positions 29 to 526 of the family's 1533-position model. The record is from RNAcentral.
AUUGAACGCUGGCGGCAGGCCUAACACAUGCAAGUCGAACGAGGGGCGGACGGGUGAGGAAUGUCUGGGAACCUGGCUGAGGGAGGGGGAUAACUACAGGAAACGGUAGCAAAAAACGCAUACCAUCAGAUGGGCACAGAUGGGGUUAGCUAGUAGGUGAGGGAACGGCCCACCUAGGCGACGAUCCCUAGCUGGUCUGAGAGGAUGACCAGCCACACUGGAACUGAGACACGGUCCAGACUCCUACGGGAGGCAGCAGUGGGGAAUAUUGCACAAUGGGCGCAAGCCUGAUACAGCCAUGCCGCGUGUGUGAAGAAGGCCUUCGGGUUGUAAAGCACUUUCAGCGGGGAGGCGUUACCCGCAGAAUAAGCACCGGCUAACUCCGUGCCAGCCGCCGCGGUAAUUC